This 385-nucleotide long non-coding RNA is filed under the name Lathyrus oleraceus (garden pea). RNAcentral's name for it is "Pisum sativum (pea) long non-coding RNA (PSAT_LNC036048)". Lineage: Eukaryota; Viridiplantae; Streptophyta; Magnoliopsida; Fabales; Fabaceae. The record is from RNAcentral.
ACAUUCAUGGGGGGUGCAGGAGGUAGUGGUCAAGCUAGUGGUGCGGGUCAUGAUGAAGACAUGGAAGAUGUCAUUGGGUCCGUGGGCGGUGGUGUUGAUGAGGAGGAUUGAAGACCUUGGUUUGGGUAGAUGGUCAAGCUAGUGGUGCGGGUCAUGAUGAAGACAUGGAAGAUGUCAUUGGGUCCGUGGGCGGUGGUGUUGAUGAGGAGGAUUGAAGACCUUGGUUUGGGUAGUAUUAGAUUUUUUAUUUGUUAGUUUUUUAUUAUUAUUAUUAUUAUUGUUUUUGUGUUUUUAAUUAUGGUUGUACUUUAGGAAGCAUCACAUGUUGGUGUUUCCCGUUUGUUUUUUUUGUUGUACUUUUGGUGGCUCUCGUUUCACCGUGAAC